RNAcentral lists this ribosomal RNA (420 nucleotides) under Triticum aestivum (bread wheat). RNAcentral's name for it is "partial small subunit ribosomal RNA". The record is from RNAcentral. Lineage: Eukaryota; Viridiplantae; Streptophyta; Magnoliopsida; Poales; Poaceae.
AUGGAAGAACGGGGCGUUUUUGACCAAUUCUUUUGCAAAAAAAAAUUCCGUUCAAGAAAGAAGAAGAUCAAUUUUGGGUUGAACCAACAACCUGAUUGUGUGGUUAUUCUGAAUGCAGAUAGAAAGACUUCGGUCAUACUGGAAGCUGAUCGAUCACAAAUACCUAUUCCAUCCUUAGUUGAUUCUAUGAUCCCAUGGGAAUCCUAUAAAAGAAUCACUUAUCCCAUCCCAGCGAAUGAUCCUAUACAGUUCGUAUAUCUAUUUCGUCAUUCGAUCAUGAAAACAGUGAUUCUUGAACAGAAUGCGAUUAGUAGAGAAGCGCAAUCUCUCAGAGUCACUUUUAGUACGGGGAAGUCCAUAGGAGGGAUGAGAUCCGCCUGCUACUCCACCUCUUCUUCUUCCUCAAUAGACGAAGAAUAA